CUUUUAUUUGUCUGUCCGCUGAAAUAGACACGUGAAGCAAUAAACCAGACGAGAGAUAAAUUCAUUACCAGAAAGUUGCGGUCUUCCGCUGUGGCCGGGGUGCAGUCCAUGUCCCGCGUGUGGAGGAAGUUUCCUGUACUGUGCGCUGGAUGUGCGGUGUACAGAGCUCUGUGCGGGAAGCGGCCGCAGCUCCAUUGAGGAGGCUCCACGUGUCUCGCGCCUUUCCAGCGGUUCGUGACGUAGAGAAAGAAAGCAGCCAGCUGUACAGCUGUGAUACAGAAACGAGUCGAAAGUUCUGAGAAAGUUGCCUCUUGUCUAUGUUAGUUUUGUCACGCAUGGCAGCAGUACCUGUCAGAGAACGCGGAACUAUCUGCGGGAUGGAUUACCAGCCCGGCCUAUUGGGCAUAUGCCCAGGAGCCCUGGAUGUGCAGAGAUUUUACAAUGAAUGAUCUUUUCAGAUGUGUAAAAAAUUUCUGACCACAUGACGGACACAGACAGGACUAAAAUCCCAGAGUGAUACGUUUAAUAAUGAACACCUUGCCAUGUAAAACUAGUCCAAAGCAAAUAUGGCUCAAUAAUUUUUGUUUAGUUUGUUUGGAGGAUUGCAACGUUUUGUUUAGUUUCUCAAAAACAUAGCACCAAAACUGUUUGAAAUAGGCUACUCAGAGUUGUACUCAGGCUGUGACGCAUUUUUGUUUUGAAAUUGUCUGUUUCUCGAGUUUUCACUUUACAUUUGUCAGCACUGAUAGUUCUUUAUAAUGCAAUCAAAAUGGGUGUCUGCUGUAAAGAAUUUAAGACUGAAUUAAGAAAUAUAAUGAGCACUGCUGUGCAUCCGCCAAAGUGGAUUAACCCUCUAAAUUUUUAAAGUAAGUGCAGGUUUGGCAGCUGCUCAAACAAACACAAUCAGAUGAGCUACAUAACUGCCACAGCUAUAUUACUGAAACACAGAAUUAUAGUUUUAAAUAUUUAUCGCAGAUAUGAAAUAUUCUCAUACCGCAAUUAUUUCUGUUAAAUUAUUGCGAUGAUAUAACGCUAUAUAACUUUAUGACUUUUAGGAUUUGUGAAUCAGCAGGAGUGUUGCCUGAAAUCUGACAAGCAUUUGAUUUGAUCUAAGAAUGGGCUGUUACACUGAAUGUUUAUCUUAAAACAACAAUUUAUUUGCAAUUUGUGUUGUAGAUUUAGUUGUAGUAUAAUAAACUCCCUUUAUAUUGAACAGUUCUAAAAAGGAACAGACCAUUUUAAAUACCUUUGAGUAUACUGUAAGCAGAAAUAUUUAUUCAGACACAUUUGUUUUUGUUAUUUAGUAUACUUUCAGUGCACAUAUCCACUAAAAAUCUAAAAUCUACACACACAAUGUCCUUGUGUUUAAGUAUGUCUUUUGGCUUCAUACUUAUAAAUAUGAACAAUAAAGUAUUUUAAAUAUGUAGCUGCUUCUCUGCAAACAGUAAUGGGGCAUGACAUGUCAUCGAAGGGAACAUGAAGUGUGAUGUACUAGUACAUAUUAGAGGAGAACUGAAGAUCAUCUGCCAAAACACUGUAUCUGGGGGGGAAUAUGGACAUUUCAACAAAACAACAAUCCCAGACAUCCAGACAACCUAACUCAAAACUGCUUUCUAAAAAAAAGGAGGUGGUUCUGGCAUGGUCUAGACUCUAAUCAGUCUCCUGACUUUAUUAAAGGAGGAUUUUGAAAUUACGAGUCUAUCAAAGAGACCCUCAUAACUUGAAAAUUGAAGGAAAUUUGCCAAGAGUAAUGGGCCAAAACUAAACCACAAUGCAGCAAAAACCCACUUUAUCGCAAAAGUCUCAAAACUGCAAUUGGCAACAAAAGUGUCCAAACAUUUAUUUCCCCUCACUGUAUCUGUGAAGAGAGAGGUCUUAAAUGUCACUGGCAGUAUAAACUGUGUAUAUUUGCAACCACUUCUGCUUGUAAAUUGCAUGAUCAUUCAGUAGUCUGUGUUUUAGCUAUAGGGUGUGUUCACAAGUAUUGACUGGGGUGCAUUUUCUUCUGAUGCUGAUGCAGGUUGUCUUUAAUCUUAAAAGCUCUGCCACAGUCAGAGCACAUGUAAGGCCUUGCCUCAGAGUGGACAACCACGUGUUUGGCAAGUGUGCGGCUGUGGCUAAAACCUUUCCUGCACACUGGGCACUGGAAGGGUCUCUCGCCGGUGUGGAUGUUGCGGUGCUCCUGUAGCCCUCGCUCCUGAGCGAACGCAGAGCCGCAGUCAGAGCAGAUAUGGGGGCGCUCGCCUGCCAAGAAGAGCCAAGAGUUAGUUAGAAUGCUGACAGUGUCUAGAAUAGUAUAGCAUUUCUUAUGCCGUUUAUUUUAGACAGUCUUUAAAAUCAUACUGAAAGGCAAAAGCAUAGCUGCAUGGAAUUGCAAAGACACUCAAGGAAUAGACUGAAGUAUGUCUCGAUACAUUGGGGAAUCACAGCCUGAACUCUAAACAAGUUUUUUGUUAAUAAUAUACAAUGACUACGUUUACAUGAACAUCAAAUUCUGUUUAUGGUCCAUAUUCAGGUUGCAGCCAUAUUCCGGAUACAAUGAUUAUAUGCGUAUAGGCAUCAGAAUAUUCCUGUAUACAUGGUUGUUGUAAGUGUGCCUGAGUUGCCAUUCCUGAAUACCUAGCCUACAGCUAAGCAUCUGUUAGCACCCACAUUUCCUUGUGAACUGAGAAGGCGCACACCUCUCAUACAGUUGUAUGCUUACAUGCAACACA
Molecule: long non-coding RNA, 2714 nt
Organism: Ictalurus punctatus (channel catfish)
Lineage: Eukaryota; Metazoa; Chordata; Actinopteri; Siluriformes; Ictaluridae
Source: Ensembl